Molecule: transfer RNA, 69 nt
Filed under: Liua tsinpaensis (Tsinpa salamander)
Lineage: Eukaryota; Metazoa; Chordata; Amphibia; Caudata; Hynobiidae
Description: tRNA-Ala
Source: RNAcentral
UAAGACCUGCAGGACUCUCCCCUACAUUAUCUGAAUGCAACCCAGAUACUUUAAUUAAGCUAAGACCUU